GUAGGUGGCAAGCGUUGUCCGGAAUUAUUGGGCGUAAAGCGCGCGCAGGUGGUUCUUUAAGUCUGAUGUGAAAGCCCCCGGGCUCAACCGGGGAGGGUCAUUGGAAACUGGGGAACUUGAGUGCAGGAGAGGAAAGUGGAAUUCCACGUGUAGCGGUGAAAUGCGUAGAUAUGUGGAGGAACACCAGUGGCGAAGGCGACUUUCUGGCCUGUAACUGACACUGAGGCGCGAAAGCGUGGGGAGCAAACAGGAUUAGAUACCCUGGUAGUCCACGCCGUAAACGAUGAGUGCUAAGUGUUGGGGGGUUUCCGCCCCUCAGUGCUGCAGCUAACGCAUUAAACACUCCGCCUGGGGAGUACGGUCGCAAAGACUGA
Molecule: ribosomal RNA, 374 nt
Filed under: uncultured organism
Description: partial 16S ribosomal RNA
Rfam family: Bacterial small subunit ribosomal RNA
Source: RNAcentral